UUGGAAUUAUAAAUUCGGGAGUUACAGUUAUAUAGUUUAAACCUGUCAAUGUUGACAUUAAUAAUUCAGUUACAGUGUGCUUGUGCGUCUAUGAACAACUCUCUUUCAGGAUGUGGACUUCUUUGAUGAGAAGGUGAAUUCCUUUUGCAUUGUGCAUUAUGUUGCAGAGAUUGUUUUGUUCCUGUGCAACUCUGCUGCUGCUCUAAGAGUGAACUGCCUAACUUAAAUACCAACGCCUAAUUUAAUACCAAUCAAAUCUCCGACUAAGGCUGCGGAGUUCUUUGACAAGAAACUGAAUUUGUGUGUGUUGGGGGGAGGAGGGGGUACAUGCUAGAGGGCAGAUUGACAGACAAUACCCAUAUGGAUGCGGUGAUGAUCCUUGGUGAGCCAUCCGCCUUUAAGGGGCCGUUUGACUGUGAGAUAAAAAAUGAC
Chanos chanos (milkfish) is the source of this 432-nucleotide long non-coding RNA. RefSeq lists it as uncharacterized. The record is from RefSeq and is a predicted model, not a curated record. The transcript has 4 exons. Lineage: Eukaryota; Metazoa; Chordata; Actinopteri; Gonorynchiformes; Chanidae.